AGCAGCCGCGGUAAUUCCAGCUCCAAUAGCGUAUAUUAAAGUUGUUGCAGUUAAAAAAGCUCGUAGUUGAAUUUCGGGAUCAGUAGGUCGGUCAUGCCUCUGGUAUGUACUGGUCCCACUGGUUCCUCCUUCCUGAUGAACCGUAAUGCCAUUAAUUUGGUGUUGCGGGGAAACUGGACUGUUACUUUGAAAAAAUUAGAGUGUUUAAAGCAGGCUAACGCUUGAAUACAUUAGCAUGGAAUAAUGAAAUAGGACGAUCGAUCCUAUUUUGUUGGUUUCUAGGAUUGACGUAAUGAUUAAUAGGGAUAGUUGGGGGCAUUAGUAUUCAAUUGUCAGAGGUGAAAUUCUUGGAUUUAUUGAAGACUAACUACUGCGAAAGCAUUUGCCAAGGAUGUUUUCAUUAAUCAAGAACGAAAGUUGGGGGAUCGAAGACGAUCAGAUACCGUCGUAGUCUUAACCAUAAACUAUGCCGACUAGGGAUCGGAUGAUGUUAAUUUUAUAAUGACUCAUUCGGCGUACC
Molecule: ribosomal RNA, 520 nt
Filed under: uncultured Glomus
Lineage: Eukaryota; Fungi; Glomeromycota; Glomeromycetes; Glomerales; Glomeraceae
Description: SSU rRNA
Rfam family: Eukaryotic small subunit ribosomal RNA
Source: RNAcentral